Molecule: ribosomal RNA, 253 nt
Filed under: uncultured bacterium
Lineage: Bacteria
Description: partial 16S ribosomal RNA
Rfam family: Bacterial small subunit ribosomal RNA
Source: RNAcentral
UACGUAGGGGGCUAGCGUUGUCCGGAAUCAUUGGGCGUAAAGCGCGCGUAGGCGGCCAGAUAAGUCCGGUGUGAAAGUCACAGGCUCAACCUGUGAAUGCCGCUGGAAACUGUCUGGCUAGAGUCCGGAAGGGGCGAGUGGAAUUCCUGGUGUAGCGGUGAAAUGCGUAGAUAUCUGGAGGAACACCGGUGGCGAAGGCGGCAUCCUGGACCGGUAUUGACGCUGAGGCGCGAAAGCCAGGGGAGCAAACGGG